UAUGAAAUGGCAGAAUUAAUGCAUAAGCCUUAAGAGCUUAGCAUGACCGAAGGUCUUUCAUAA
Molecule: transfer RNA, 63 nt
Filed under: Glossodoris acosti
Lineage: Eukaryota; Metazoa; Mollusca; Gastropoda; Nudibranchia; Chromodorididae
Description: tRNA-Leu
Source: RNAcentral